RNAcentral lists this ribosomal RNA (1260 nucleotides) under Triticum aestivum (bread wheat). Its description in RNAcentral is "partial small subunit ribosomal RNA". Lineage: Eukaryota; Viridiplantae; Streptophyta; Magnoliopsida; Poales; Poaceae. The record is from RNAcentral.
AUGGAGGAACCUGCGAGACUUGCUUCAGAUCCUAAGAAACUAUUCAGCAGGAUCGUGGAUGGUAUCCUGGCAGUGGCAGAACAAAUCCCUAUAGAAUCUACUGCUGGGUGGGCUAACCUCGCGAAUGUAGAAAGAUGGGAGAAGGAAGUUCAGUGGAUAACAUUGAUGUGGCAGAGUCGGCUAAAUGGGAUACUAGGGGAUCAAAUGGGCUCUCAAGGAAUGAUCCCAGCACUUUCGUUUCUUGCUGAUCUCAAACGGAAUGGUCAGCAUGGUCCGUACAUGAUAGUUACUUCUAUGGAUCACAAUGGUGUUUUGUCCUGGUCGAAUUUUAUAAGGGAGCAUUCAAAUAUGAAGGAAAUGGUUUAUCUUGGAAACCGAUCGUGUCGGGCAAGGUUGAGGAAAGAGUUUGGGCCCAAAACUGUUGGCCCUGAUUUCCCCAUCAUAGUGACUACAUAUAACAUGGUCCUGGUAGAACAAAAAUGGCUAGCAAAGUGUGAGUGGAAAUACGUUAUUGUGGACGAGGGUCAUGAACUGAAGAAAUGGGAACGUGAAAUGUUGGAGGAGGUAAAGCGCCAGCCAAUGGGUCCAAUGGGUCAUAAGCUCCUUUUGAUGAGGGAACCUUUUCAAAAUAACCUAGCUGAGCUGUGGUCACUAUUGAACUUUGCUCUGCCUGAUGCGUUCUCAUCUCGUGAGGGAUUUGAUUCAUGGUUUGAUAAAUCUGGGAAAGAAGUUGAGGAACAACAAACUGAAGAGGAAAGAAGGACCCUUCUUUCAAAGCUAAAUGCCAUUUUGCGCCCAUUCCUUCUACGGGGCAUGGAGCGGGACGUAGUAAAGAAGACUAAAGUUGUCCAGAACUCGGAUGCAAUUAGUGUUACAUGCUCAAAUGACCAUGCAGCAACAAAAGGCGCAAGGACUGAUGCUGGGAGUUGUCAAGAGGUAGCAGCAAGAGUUGUUGGUGUUACUGGUGAUGAAGUAGGCCUGGAAGUGGAAGCUAAUAAGGCUAUUAAGAGGCCACGAACAAAUGAUGUAUCUAUCUCCCUGGUCAGCGAAAGAAAUCCGACUGUGCGUGUGCAAAUGGCGAAGUCAUCUUCCUCUGAAUCAAUCUUCAAGGCACUCAAAGAGAUACCUUACUUGGCCCGUACUGAUAUUCUGAGAGCCUACAGUUGUCUUAUCCGUGAUGAUCGCCUAUUGGAAUCUCUUAUGGCGCUCCCAAUGGACAUGAGAAAGGAUUGGCUGCUCAUGGAGAUUGGAAGCAAGUAG